AUUGAACGCUGGCGGCGGGCCUAACACAUGCCAGUCGAGCGGAUGAAGGGAGCUUGCUCCUGGAUUCAGCGGCGGACGGGUGAGUAAUGCCUAGGAAUCUGCCUGGUAGUGGGGGAUAACGUCCGGAAACGGGCGCUAAUACCGCAUACGUCCUGAGGGAGAAAGUGGGGGAUCUUCGGACCUCACGCUAUCAGAUGAGCCUAGGUCGGAUUAGCUAGUUGGUGGGGUAAAGGCCUACCAAGGCGACGAUCCGUAACUGGUCUGAGAGGAUGAUCAGUCACACUGGAACUGAGACACGGUCCAGACUCCUACGGGAGGCAGCAGUGGGGAAUAUUGGACAAUGGGCGAAAGCCUGAUCCAGCCAUGCCGCGUGUGUGAAGAAGGUCUUCGGAUUGUAAAGCACUUUAAGUUGGGAGGAAGGGCAGUAAGUUAAUACCUUGCUGUUUUGACGUUACCAACAGAAUAAGCACCGGCUAACUUCGUG
This 484-nucleotide ribosomal RNA is filed under the name uncultured bacterium. RNAcentral's name for it is "partial 16S ribosomal RNA". It matches the Rfam family "Bacterial small subunit ribosomal RNA", at positions 30 to 507 of the family's 1533-position model. The record is from RNAcentral.